UACAGAGGGUGCAAGCGUUGUUCGGAAUUAUUGGGCGGAAAGCGCGUGUAGGCGGCUUAGCAAGUCGGGCGUGAAAGCCCUCAGCUCAACCGAGGAAGUGCACCCGAAACUGCUGAGCUUGAGUGCCGGAGAGGAUGGCGGAAUUCCCCAAGUAGAGGUGAAAUUCGUAGAUAUGGGGAGGAACACCGGUGGCGAAGGCGGCCAUCUGGACGGUAACUGACGCUGAGACGCGAAAGCGUGGGGAGCAAACAGG
This 253-nucleotide ribosomal RNA is filed under the name uncultured bacterium. RNAcentral describes it as "partial 16S ribosomal RNA". It matches the Rfam family "Bacterial small subunit ribosomal RNA", at positions 524 to 776 of the family's 1533-position model. The record is from RNAcentral.